Molecule: ribosomal RNA, 377 nt
Filed under: uncultured bacterium
Lineage: Bacteria
Description: bacterial SSU rRNA
Rfam family: Bacterial small subunit ribosomal RNA
Source: RNAcentral
UAAUACGUAGGGUGCAAGCGUUGUUCGGAAUCAUUGGGCGUAAAGCGCGUGCAGGCGGUUAGUUAAGUCGGGUGUGAAAUCCCUGGGCUUAACCGAGGAAGUGCAUUCGAAACUAACUAGCUAGAAGACAGUAGAGGAAGGUGGAAUUCCAAGUGUAGAGGUGAAAUUCGUAGAUAUUUGGAGGAAUACCGGCGGCGAAGGCGGCCUUCUGGACUGUUCUUGACGCUGAGACGCGAAAGCGUGGGUAGCAAACAGGAUUAGAUACCCUGGUAGUCCACGCCGUAAACGAUGGGUACUAGGUGUUGCAGGAAUUGACCCCUGCAGUGCCGACGCUAACGCAUUAAGUACCCCGCCUGGGAAGUACGGCCGCAAGGUUA